This 738-nucleotide ribosomal RNA is filed under the name Microporus xanthopus. RNAcentral describes it as "eukaryotic LSU rRNA". It matches the Rfam family "Eukaryotic large subunit ribosomal RNA", at positions 142 to 869 of the family's 3401-position model. Lineage: Eukaryota; Fungi; Basidiomycota; Agaricomycetes; Polyporales; Polyporaceae. The record is from RNAcentral.
GUUGUAGUCUGGAGAAGUGCUUUCCGCGCUGGACCGUGUAUAAGUCUCUUGGAACAGAGCGUCAUAGAGGGUGAGAAUCCCGUCUUUGACACGGACUACCAGUGCUUUGUGAUGCGCUCUCAAAGAGUCGAGUUGUUUGGGAAUGCAGCUCAAAAUGGGUGGUAAAUUCCAUCUAAAGCUAAAUAUUGGCGAGAGACCGAUAGCGAACAAGUACCGUGAGGGAAAGAUGAAAAGCACUUUGGAAAGAGAGUUAAACAGUACGUGAAAUUGCUGAAAGGGAAACGCUUGAAGUCAGUCGCGUCUGCCGGAACUCAGCCUUGCUUUUGCUUGGUGCAUUUUCCGGUUGACGGGCCAGCAUCGAUUUUGACCGUCGGAAAAGGGCUAGGGAAAUGUGGCACCUUCGGGUGUGUUAUAGUCUCUAGUCGCAUACGGCGGUUGGGAUCGAGGACCGCAGCGCGCCGCAAGGCAGGGGUUCGCCCACUUUCGCGCUUAGGAUGCUGGCAUAAUGGCUUUAAACGACCCGUCUUGAAACACGGACCAAGGAGUCUAACAAACCUGCGAGUGUUUGGGUGGUAAACCCGAGCGCGUAAUGAAAGUGAAAGUUGAGACCUCUGUCGUGGAGGGCAUCGACGCCCGGACCUGACGUUCUCUGAAGGAUCCGCGGUAGAGCAUGUUUGUUGGGACCCGAAAGAUGGUGAACUAUGCCUGAAUAGGGUGAAGCCAGAGGAAACUCUGGUG